GAGACAUAGAGAGAGAGAAGAGGGAGAGAGAGAGAGGGUGGAGGGGUUGAGAAAAAUAAGAGGAAGAGGCGACAAAAAUAGUGAAAGAAAGACAGAGGGAGAGAAAGAAAGAGAAGUAGAGAAAAGAGGGAGAGAGAGAGGGAGAAGGAGGGAGGGAAGGAGUGAUUGUUUAGCCUGAUCCGCUGUGUGUUUGCUGUUGUAGUAAUCAGGCCAUUCACUGCUAUUUACGCUGUCUUUAUUUGACAGUAAUAACAGCUUUAAAUCAUGGCUAGACUGCUGCUUUAAUGUGUCCUCUACCCUCUCCCUCUUUGCCCUCUCUAUGCCCUCUCCUUCUCUCUCUCCCUCUCUACUAAGACAUGGCAUGACUGACUGGAUGGAGGGAAGGUUUAAGGAGGAAAACAGGGGGAGACAAACUGUAUGGGGAGGAGGAUAGGAGAAGAAGAGGAGAGGAGAAGAGAAGAAGAAAGAGGGAUUAGACAGAUGAACUGCAGUCACCAGAUGCCCAAGCCUCAAACCAGAAAUGUGGAGACAUCAACACCUGUAAUUUUGAAUACAUAAAAAAAUACAUAUUG
This is a long non-coding RNA of Salmo salar (Atlantic salmon), 572 nucleotides long. RefSeq lists it as uncharacterized. The record is from RefSeq and is a predicted model, not a curated record. NCBI's taxonomy places the organism in Eukaryota, Metazoa, Chordata, Actinopteri, Salmoniformes, Salmonidae.